CCGCGCAGGAAUCCCUCAUCCUGGAGCUCCACGCCAUCGAGGCCAUCAAGUUCGGCACCUUCGUGCUCAAGUCCGGCAUCACCUCCCCGAUCUACCUCGACCUCCGCGCGCUCGUCUCCCACCCGGGCCUCCUCUCCUCCAUCGCCACCCUCCUCCACACCCUCCCGGCGACCCGCCCCUACGACCUCCUCUGCGGCGUCCCCUACACCGCGCUCCCCAUCGCCUCCGUCCUCUCCGUCCACCGCUCCGUCCCCAUGGUCAUGCGCCGCAAGGAGGCCAAGGCCCACGGCACCGCCAAGUCCAUCGAGGGCGCCUUCCGCGCCGGGGAGGCCGUGCUCAUCAUCGAGGACCUCGUCACCAGCGGCGCCUCCGUUCUCGAGACCGCCGCGCCGCUCCGCGACCAGGGGCUCGUCGUCGCCGACGCCGUCGUCGUCGUCGACCGCGAGCAGGGCGGGAGGGAGAACCUUGCCGCCAAUGGGAUCACGCUGCACUCGCUCAUGACCCUCACGGAGGUGCUCGCCGUGCUGCUCAAGCACGGGAAGGUGACCGAGGAGAAGGCGAGGGAGGUAAGGCAGUUUCUUGACGCCAAUAGGAAGGUGACCGUUCCCGGAGCGGCGGGCGCCGUUAAGCCCAAAGCGGUCAGGAAGGGGUUUGCUGAGAGGGCUGGAUUGGCCAAGAACCCGAUGGGGAAGAGGCUUUUCGAGGUGAUGGAGGCAAAGCAGAGCAAUUUAUGUGUUGCUGCCGAUGUGGGAACUGCAAAGGAGCUCCUUGAGCUUGCAGAGAAGGUAGUACAUGUCACUACUAUUUGUGGAGUUAGUUGGUAGAUUGGUUGGUUAAAUAAAUUUAUAAGCAUUUCAACCCUGACAAGUCAAAUUCUCCUGUUGGAUGGAUAAUCCUGCAAUUUGUGUGUACUUUUUAGUUCUUAGAUAAUGGACAAUUUGUGCAUACUUUAUGUUGAUAUGUCAGGCUCAGUCCCUGAGUUAUCUAGUAAGAAACAAAUUGGGGGUUCGGUAGAUAUACCUGUUUAUAUAGCACCUGCUUUUGCUUCAUGAACUGUCUACUUAGACUAGGUCUGUUAUACUGGAGUCCUUGGGAAGUAGAAACAUUGAUUUGAUAGUUGAGACAUGCUCAGUGUGUGUUUUUCUCUGUUUAAAAUGUAUUUUAAACAUUUCUGUGCUUAGAUAUGCUGUGUGCUGCUUCAUCUAGUGUUGCAAAAAGAAUGCUCCACAGUUGCAGUUUCUUCCUUAAGCAGUCAAGCUAGCAUUAUUUGUACUUUCUGAUUUGUUUUUUCCUCCAGUCUCAUUUCAUCCAUUUGCAUGACCUUUAGAUAUGCUAAGAGCAGAUUCACUACUUUUAGCUUUGUUUUUUUUCUCCUUUUGGUGUGUUUUAACAUUACGCUGUAAUUGCUAAACCCAGGUAAUAAUGCUUGUUAACUUGGUUCUCCAAUUUUUAUGUAGGUUGGUCCAGAGAUUUGCAUGCUGAAAACUCAUGUGGAUAUCUUGUCUGACUUUACUCCAGAUUUUGGAGCUAAGCUUUGCUCGGUAUGUUAUUUACUUAUAGUUUGGCAUGCUAAAGUUAUUGUCCUGGUCAGUUUUCACAUGGUCUGUUCUUUACUAAUUGACCCAUAAAACGUUAUUUUUAGAUUGCCGAGAAGCACAACUUUUUGAUAUUUGAAGACCGCAAGUUUGCUGACAUUGGAAACACAGUGACUAUGCAAUAUGAAGGGUGAGAAACAGCACCACAACCUAUCCCUUCUCAUCUCCUUUAUGUAUUUGUGUGACAUAAGUGCCUUUAACCUUGUUUCAGAGGAAUAUUUCGCAUAUUAGACUGGGCUGAUAUCGUCAAUGCCCAUAUAAUUCCUGGACCUGGAAUUGUGGAUGGUCUGAAGCUUAAGGUAUGCUGUGCUUUACAUGACUUAUACCAGAGUUUAAAGUUUUGUUAGUAUUGUUGCAUCUUCAGGUAGCUGAUUUAACAUAAUGCUCACAGUAACUUUUGUGUUUUGUACUGAAGGGUUUGCCAAAAGGAAGAGGGCUGCUUUUGCUUGCUGAAAUGAGCUCGGCUGGCAACCUUGCUCAUGGAGAGUACACUGCUGCAGCUGUAAAGAUUGCUGAGCAACAUUCUGAUUUUGUAAUUGGAUUUAUAUCCGUUAAUCCAGCAUCUUGGUCAGUUGCGCCAUCAAGUCCAGCAUUUAUCCAUGCCACUCCUGGAGUGCAGAUGGUUUCUGGAGGAGAUGCUCUUGGUCAACAGUACAAUACCCCUCAUUCUGUGAGUUUAACCUUACCAUCGAAUUCCUUUGUGUGAUUGAUUCACUUUUUUCUCCUUAUGUCUUAAUGCAUUUUUGGAGGUCUUCCAAAGAGUCAAACUUAGUAAGAACUAGUUACCAAAGAAUGACCGUCGGUUGUUGUCUCCCAGUUAUUGGUACAGUAACAUGAAACAUCAAGGUUGCUGUGGAAUACAGACAGCCAUCAAGGCAGAUUGUUAGUCUCCCAGUUAUUAAUACAGUAGCACGAAACAUCAAGGUUGUUGAUGCCUGUGUAGUCUGUGGAAUACAGAGAGGCGUUGAGACUGAUUGUUAUGUGAUGAAGUCCUAGUUGGAUAUGCUUUCCAUAUCCAUUUUGUCUCGUGGGCCAAAUAAUAGUUUGUUUCUAACUUAUACUACCUUAGCUCAAGUUUAUCUGGGUAUUACGUUCACUUUGGAUUAUCAGGCGCUAAACAUUUGAGCUCAUGCUAUCUUUUUCUUCUUUACACAAUUUGGAGGCCUUUCAUACGGUAGAUGAUUUAACAAAACCUAUAUCUUGAAGUUCUCAGAUCAUACCUGCACCAUCUUUAACAUGUCUCAUGGCCUAAUCAUGCCUGCAUCAUCUUCCUAUGUUUUUAUUAUUCGUCAGUAAAUAAUCUGGAUGCUUAGGCAGGAACUCAGUUCUUCGUUCCGUCCUGUUGCAAUAUGCUUAUGAACUGAUAUAUUCCUUGCGACGCCGUUGUUUACUACGUACAGGUUAUAAACGACAGAGGCAGUGACAUAAUUAUAGUCGGACGAGGGAUUAUAAAGGCGAGUAAUCCAGCCGAGACCGCGAGGGAGUACCGCAUCCAAGGGUGGGGAGCAUACCAAUCCAGCUUGCCAUGAGAAAUUGAGAAUGUGUUUAGGCCAUGUUUGUUUCAGCUUAUGAUUAUUAUAAUCUAGAUUAUUAAGCCAGAUUGCUAUAAGCUGGAUUAUAAUAAGCUGACAUAGAAUAAGCUGUGAGUUGUUUGUUUGUCUGGAUUAUUGGAGGCAUGGAUUAUUGGGUUUGAAAGGCUAAAGUCUAUAAUACCCUCAGCUAUCUGUUCGGUUGAUGGCAUAGUGGUUAAUUUUUCUCAAGCAUGUAGGGGUAGUGGGUCUUUAGCCACUCAAUAAUCUGAAAAAAGCUCCUUUAGAGCAGCUUAUUAGAUUAUAAUAAUCUGGCUUAUAGAUUAUAAUAAUCUGCUACAAUAAUCUACUUGUUUGUUUCAGUUUACUCCUAAUAAGGUAGAUUAUAAUAAUCCUAAACUGAAUCAAACAGGCCCUUAGUCCACACCCUAUGCCAAAUAAUGGGCAUUCACUCAUUCAGGCAGCUACUGUAAUAAGAGCAUGCUCUGCGUUCCAUCAGUAUUGGCUCGCGCUGUUUGCAACAAUAAUUUAGAGUUCAAGAUGAUGAAGUCAUGAAACUAAGUUGCCAAUAUACAAAGAUGUAGUAUCGUUCAUGCUCCUUGCCGUUCAUCCCAUCAUUAUUUUGGUGCACUCUCGCAUGGAUACUGUAAACUUGAACUUGCAUGGUUAUGUGGCGAUGACAAGAGGCACAGCCAAAGUUGCUGCAAACUGCUACAGCUCGGAUUGGCUGAAACUUCCGGGGGCCGUUUCGUCUUGCCGUGGUUAAACUGGUACAGCUCGGUUUGGCCUGAAAGGCUACUGUUCUUCAUGUGCUCGAGUUCAUGCCUCCCGUAGAUUUAUUUAUUUUUACUAUCCCCUUGCCCAACAAAAACCGGAGAUUUUACUAUACCAAAAUGCUACCCUGGUUUCAUGGGAACGAAAUGGAAAUGGAGAUUUUGGUUAAAGAUAAGCAGCAACAUUUUACGAUUUUCUGAAUUGUGUGCUAUCCAAAAUUGGCUUGGCAUCCGUCGUUUCCUCCAUCGCAGUAAGAGCAUCUCCAAGAGACUGGCUAAAUGGCUCUCCAAGCUAAAAUUUAGUGAACUUGGGCAAAAAAUCUACUCCAAUAGACUAGCUAAAUGGUUCUCCAAGCCAUCCGGCUGGCUAAAUUCUCCACCUCACUAGCCAAAGUUGGCCAGCUAGGACGGCUGGCUAUCUGGUGUGGGUCCCACCCCCUCUCUCCUCUCUCUCUCUCUCCCCCUUUCCCCAUCCCAUCCCGGCUCCUUCCCUGCCCGCCGCAUCCAUCCGUCCAGUGCUCGCCGUUGUCCUCCCGGCGCCGCCGCCGUCAUCAUCCUUCCGGCUCCGCCACCACCGUCGUCCGUGGCGAGAUGGCGCAGCCCAUCGUCUUUCCCCGACCCUCCGGGAUCUGGAGCGGGGCGGCGACGGCAACGACGACGACGAGCCAGUCCUUCGCCCGCACAAUGCCGUCUCCAUCGACGCACUCCGCGCCGCCGACCUCGAGGCAAUGGCGGCAGGGUGGGGUCAGGGCGACGACUACGCGGAGUCCCCCGACGACGACAGCACGGAGGACGGCGCGGAGUCCGCCGGCGGCGACGACGGCGCCUCCUCCCUCCCUCCCUCCGCUGCAAGCUCCGCCCAACCUCCCUCCUCUGCAGCGGACGCUCCGCUGCCACCGACGCCGGCCACCGCGCAUUGACGAGACGCCGGCCACCGCGCAUCGCGUGGACAUCAUCGAGAUGGUUGCAGUGGGAGAAGAGAAGAAGGGGAGAAAGAGGAAGAAGAAUAGAUAAUAGAGGCUGACAUGUGGGCCCUAAUUGUCAUAGGCUCGUAAUAGAGAGGGUAGAUGGAGAGGCUGUUGGAGUGAGGAAUGAGUUUGGUUUGCCAAAUCAAUUGGAGAGCUGGUUAUAUAGGUGUUUGGAGAGUCCGUUUUAGAGAGUCUGUUGGAGAUGCUCUAAGCCAACCAGUCGAUAUCAUCGCCGUCAUAUUCAGCAAUGGACGAUGACUGAUGAUGACUCUCAAGAGAAUGUGUUUAGUCCAAACCCUAUGCCGCUGAAUGUUGAUGCUGUUGAUGCAUGCACCUGCCGAAGGCCGAGUUUAGUUUUAAACUUUUUCUUCAACUUCUAACUUUUCUAUCAUAUUAAUGUGUUUAGUCCAAACCCUAUGCCGCUGAAUGCUGAUGCUGUUGAUGCAUGCACCUGCCGAAGACCGAGUUUAGUUUUAAACUUUUUUUCAAAUUCUAACUUUUUCGUUACAUCGUUUCAAUUAUAACCAAACUUUUCUACAUACACUUCCAACUUUUUUCGUUACAUCGUUUCAAUUAUAACCAAACUUUCCUCGACACAAUUCCAAAGUGCACUUCUCCACUUCACUCCUCGUCUCUUGCCGUCUUUUGUCCGCAAGUCUCGUGCUCUCACUCUCCACCUUCUUCUUCCCAGCUUCUCUCGUCUCGGCUCAAGGCUCUAGCCAUGGACGCCGCCGCAAUGGAAUCCCUCAUCCUGGAGCUCCACGCCAUCGAGGCCGUCAAGUUCGGCGCCUUCGUGCUCAAGUCCGGCAUCACCUCCCCGAUCUACCUCGACCUCCGCAUGCUCGUCGCCCACCCGCGCCUCCUCUCCACCGUCGCCUCCCUCCUCGGCUCCCUCCCGGCGACCCGCCCCUACGACCUCCUCUGCGGCGUCCCCUACACCGCGCUCCCCAUCGCCUCCGUCCUCUCCGCCGCCGCCUCCGUCCCCAUGCUCCUCCGCCGCUACCACGUCACGCCGCACGCCGCCGCCG
Molecule: long non-coding RNA, 5893 nt
Filed under: Oryza sativa (Asian cultivated rice)
Lineage: Eukaryota; Viridiplantae; Streptophyta; Magnoliopsida; Poales; Poaceae
Description: long non-coding RNA (OSAT_LNC001774)
Source: RNAcentral